RNAcentral lists this ribosomal RNA (253 nucleotides) under uncultured bacterium. RNAcentral describes it as "partial 16S ribosomal RNA". It matches the Rfam family "Bacterial small subunit ribosomal RNA", at positions 524 to 776 of the family's 1533-position model. The record is from RNAcentral.
UACGUAGGGGGCAAGCGUUGUCCGGAAUCAUUGGGCGUAAAGAGCGCGUAGGCGGUCCGGUAAGUCCGCUGUGAAAGUCAAGGGCUCAACCCUUGAAUGCCGGUGGAUACUGUCGGGCUAGAGUCCGGAAGAGGCGAGUGGAAUUCCGGGUGUAGCGGUGGAAUGCGUAGAUAUCAGGAGGAACACCGAUGGCGAAGGCAGCUCGCUGGGACGGUACUGACGCUGAGACGCGAAAGCGUGGGGAGCAAACAGG